This 251-nucleotide long non-coding RNA is filed under the name Zonotrichia albicollis (white-throated sparrow). RNAcentral describes it as "lncRNA (ENSZALG00000001777.1)". Lineage: Eukaryota; Metazoa; Chordata; Aves; Passeriformes; Passerellidae. The record is from RNAcentral.
AAGGUUAAAGGUCAGGCAGGGGUCACCCAGACAGGAGUCUCCAGGUGUGGCCCCGCCCCCAUCCAGGUGUGUCCCAGGUGUGUCCCCAAUGCCCCAGGUGUGUUUGGGUGUGUCCCAGGUGUACCCAGGUGUGUCCCCAAUGUCCCCAGGUGUCACCCAGGUGUGUUUGGGUGUGUUCAGUCUCACCUUGCAGGUGUCCCCGCCCCCGCCCAGGUGUCCGGCACACACCAUGGCCCAUCCCAGCUGUACCC